GCGCCCGUAGCUCAGCUGGAUAGAGCACCAGACUACGAAUCUGGGGGCCGGAGGUUCGAAUCCUUCCGGGCGCACCA
RNAcentral lists this transfer RNA (77 nucleotides) under Novosphingopyxis baekryungensis. Its description in RNAcentral is "tRNA-Arg". It matches the Rfam family "tRNA". From Rfam's summary of the family: Transfer RNA (tRNA) molecules are approximately 80 nucleotides in length. Their secondary structure includes four short double-helical elements and three loops (D, anti-codon, and T loops). RNAcentral also lists the same sequence under 5 other names. The record is from RNAcentral. Lineage: Bacteria; Pseudomonadati; Pseudomonadota; Alphaproteobacteria; Sphingomonadales; Sphingorhabdaceae.